AAAUAUUCCUGUACCGAUCAAUAGUGCGAUGUGGGGACAGAGAAGGUUAGCUCAGCCAACUGUUGGAUGUUGGUUCAAGCCUGUAGUCGUGCCUGGUAGGCAAAUCCGCCGGGCUUAGAUGAGGGGUGAUAACGAGUCUGCUUGCAGACGAAGUGAGUGAUACCCUGCUUCCAGGAAAAGCCACUAAGCUUCAGCUAUUGACGACCGUACCGCAAACCGACACUGGUGCGCGAGAUGAGUAUUCUAAGGCGCUUGAGAGAACUCAGGAGAAGGAACUCGGCAAAUUGACACCGUAACUUCGGGAGAAGGUGUGCCCUCAGUAGGUGAACCUGUACAAGGGGAGCCCAAAGGGGUUGCAAAGAAUCGGUGGCUGCGACUGUUUAUUAAAAACACAGCACUCUGCAAACACGAAAGUGGACGUAUAGGGUGUGACGCCUGCCCGGUGCUGGAAGAUUAAAUGAUGGGGUGCAAGCUCUUGAUUGAAGUCCCAGUAAACGGCGGCCGUAACAAUAACGGUCCUAAGGCAGCGAAAUUCCUUGUCGGGUAAGUUCCGACCUGCACGAAUGGCGUAACGAUGGCCACACUGUCUCCUCCUGAGACUCAGCGAAGUUGAAAUGUUUGUGAUGAUGCGAUCUCCCCGCGGAAAGACGGAAAGACCCCAUGAACCUUUACUGUAGCUUUGUAUUGGACUUUGAACGGAUCUGUGUAGGAUAGGUGGGAGGCUUUGAAGCGGUGUCGCUAGACAUCGUGGAGCCAACGUUGAAAUACCACCCUGGUGCGUUUGAGGUUCUAACCUGGAUCCCUUAUCGGGAUUGGGGACAGUGCAUGGUAGGCAGUUUGACUGGGGCGGUCUCCUCCCAAAGCGUAACGGAGGAGUUCGAAGGUACGCUAGUUACGGUCGGACAUCGUGACGAUAGUGCAAUGGCAUAAGCGUGCUUAACUGCGAGACUGACAAGUCGAGCAGAUGCGAAAGCAGGACAUAGUGAUCCGGUGGUUCUGUAUGGAAGGGCCAUCGCUCAACGGAUAAAAGGUACUCUGGGGAUAACAGGCUGAUACCGCCCAAGAGUUCAUAUCGACGGCGGUGUUUGGCACCUCGAUGUCGGCUCAUCUCAUCCUGGGGCUGUAGCCGGUCCCAAGGGUAUGGCUGUUCGCCAUUUAAAGAGGUACGUGAGCUGGGUUUAAAACGUCGUGAGACAGUUUGGUCCCUAUCUUCCGUGGGCGCUGCAGAUUUGAGGAAGCCUGCUCCUAGUACGAGAGGACCGGAGUGGACACACCUCUGGUGUACCGGUUGUCACGCCAGUGGCAUCGCCGGGUAGCUAUGUGUGGAAGAGAUAACCGCUGAAAGCAUCUAAGCGGGAAACUCGUUUCAAGAUGAGAUCUGCCGGGGCCUUGAGCCCCCUAAAGAGUCGUUCAAGACCAGGACGUUGAUAGGCUGGGUGUGGAAGCGCAGUAAUGCGUUAAGCUAACCAGUACUAAUUGCUCGUGCGGCUUGACC
This 1495-nucleotide ribosomal RNA is filed under the name metagenome. RNAcentral's name for it is "bacterial LSU rRNA". It matches the Rfam family "Bacterial large subunit ribosomal RNA", at positions 1431 to 2925 of the family's 2925-position model. The record is from RNAcentral.